Molecule: non-coding RNA, 277 nt
Filed under: Streptomyces turgidiscabies Car8
Lineage: Bacteria; Bacillati; Actinomycetota; Actinomycetes; Kitasatosporales; Streptomycetaceae
Description: Streptomyces sRNA 4677
Rfam family: Streptomyces sRNA 4677
About the family: Located in the intergenic region between anti-sigma factor SCO4677 gene and a putative regulatory protein gene SCO4676. scr4677 expression requires the SCO4677 activity and scr4677 sRNA itself seem to affect the levels of the SCO4676-associated transcripts.
Source: Rfam by way of RNAcentral
UGCUUCGGCGGCGUCGGCGCUCCUUUUCAAGGAACACAAGAGAGAAAGAACUCCUACCAAGCCCCACCCCUCCCGCCUGCCGGUGUGCCCCAUCACUCUCCCGAGUGAACAUCGCCAACUCGGCUGGAUUCGUGCCCGGUUGCCUGGCCUACGCUCAGCGCAGCACCACCACCGACAUCACAGACAACCGCAGACAACCUCAGACAUGCGACGGCCCCCGCCGGGACUGCAAUCCCAAGGCGAGGGCCUGACCACCAAGGAAGAAGCAAGCUUCCCG